This 300-nucleotide ribosomal RNA is filed under the name uncultured bacterium. RNAcentral's name for it is "bacterial SSU rRNA". It matches the Rfam family "Bacterial small subunit ribosomal RNA", at positions 30 to 277 of the family's 1533-position model. The record is from RNAcentral.
AUUGAACGCUGGCGGCAUGCCUUACACAUGCAAGUCGAACGUGAAAGCGGGCAACCCGCAAGUAGAGUGGCGGACGGGUGAGUAAUACAUCGGAACGUGUCCAGUAAUGGGGGAUAACCUAGCGAAAGUUAGGCUAAUACCGCAUACGAUCUGCGGAUGAAAGCGGGGGAUGCGGCACUAAAGGCUUUUGGCGAAGGUGGCCAAAGGUGAGUCGAGAGCUUUUAGUGCCUGCACCUCGCGUUAUUGGAGCGGCUGAUGUCUGAUUAGCUAGUUGGUGAGGUAAAGGCUUACCAAGGCGAC